This 253-nucleotide ribosomal RNA is filed under the name uncultured bacterium. RNAcentral describes it as "partial 16S ribosomal RNA". It matches the Rfam family "Bacterial small subunit ribosomal RNA", at positions 524 to 776 of the family's 1533-position model. The record is from RNAcentral.
UACGGAGGGUGCAAGCGUUAUCCGGAAUCACUGGGUUUAAAGGGUGCGUAGGCGGCUUGAUAAGUCAGGGGUGAAAGCCCGCAGCUUAACUGCGGAACUGCCUUUGAUACUGUCGAGCUUGAAAGAGGUUGAGGUCAGCGGAACGUGACAUGUAGCGGUGAAAUGCAUAGAUAUGUCACAGAACACCGAUUGCGAAGGCAGCUGGCUGGACCUACUUUGACGCUGAGGCACGAAAGCGUGGGGAGCGAACAGG